AACGAGGCCGACCUGCGGCUGAGUUACCUGCGGAGGGAUCAUUAUAGGAAACAGUGAUUUCACAAGUUGCGGGGGGGCUUUAGGGGGGGGAUGGUGUCAUACUCUGCACUUUUUCUCUCUCUUGGGUUCCCUGCUUCUUCAAACAAAUUAUCGCAACUAGAAUAACUGGGGGGCUGACUUGGAGGGGACACACACACACAGGGAAAAAGUGCUUGCCUGAUAUCUGAGCUUCUUAUGAGG
Molecule: unclassified non-coding RNA, 240 nt
Filed under: soil metagenome
Description: partial contains 5.8S ribosomal RNA, internal transcribed spacer 2, and large subunit ribosomal RNA
Source: RNAcentral